RNAcentral lists this ribosomal RNA (439 nucleotides) under uncultured bacterium. RNAcentral's name for it is "partial 16S ribosomal RNA". It matches the Rfam family "Bacterial small subunit ribosomal RNA", at positions 338 to 795 of the family's 1533-position model. The record is from RNAcentral.
CCUACGGGUGGCAGCAGUGGGGAAUAUUGCACAAUGGGCGAAAGCCUGAUGCAGCAACGCCGCGUGAGCGAUGACGGCCUUCGGGUCGUAAAGCUCUGUCCUCAAGGAAGAUAAUGACGGUACUUGAGGAGGAAGCCCCGGCUAACUACGUGCCAGCAGCCGCGGUAAUACGUAGGGGGCUAGCGUUAUCCGGAAUUACUGGGCGUAAAGGGUGCGUAGGUGGUUUCUUAAGUCAGAGGUAAAAGGCUACGGCUCAACCGUAGUAAGCCGUUGAAAAUGGGGAACUUGAGUGCAGGAGAGGAAUGUGGAAUGCGUGGUGUAGCGGUGAAAUGCGUAGAGAUUAGGAAGAACACCAGUUGCGAAGGCAGCUCUCUGGACUGUAACUGACACUGAGGCACGAAAGCGUGGGGAUCAAACAGGAUUAGAUACCCCAGUAGUC